UGGGGAAUAUUGCACAAUGGGGGAAACCCUGAUGCAGCGACGCCGCGUGAACGAAGAAGGUAUUCGUAUCGUAAAGUUCUGUCCUAUGGGAAGAUAAUGACAGUACCAUAGAAGAAAGCUCCGGCUAAAUACGUGCCAGCAGCCGCGGUAAUACGUAUGGAGCGAGCGUUGUCCGGAAUUAUUGGGCGUAAAGGGUACGCAGGCGGUUUAAUAAGUCGAAUGUUAAAGAUCGGGGCUCAACCCCGCAAAGCAUUGGAAACUGAUAAACUUGAGUAGUGGAGAGGAAAGUGGAAUUCCUAGUGUAGUGGUGAAGUACGUAGAUAUUAGGUGGGAUACCAGUAGCGAAGGAGACUUUCUGGACACAAACUGACGCUGAGGUACGAAAGCGUGGGGAGCAAACAGG
This 403-nucleotide ribosomal RNA is filed under the name bacterium. RNAcentral's name for it is "partial 16S ribosomal RNA". It matches the Rfam family "Bacterial small subunit ribosomal RNA", at positions 355 to 776 of the family's 1533-position model. The record is from RNAcentral.